GGUUAAGCGACUAAGCGUACACGGUGGAUGCCCUGGCAGUCAGAGGCGAUGAAGGACGUGCUAAUCUGCGAUAAGCGUCGGUGAGGUGAUAUGAACCGUUAUAACCGGCGAUUUCCGAAUGGGGAAACCCAGUGUGUUUCGACACACUAUCAUUAACUGAAUCCAUAGGUUAAUGAGGCGAACCGGGGGAACUGAAACAUCUAAGUACCCCGAGGAAAAGAAAUCAACCGAGAUUCCCCCAGUAGCGGCGAGCGAACGGGGAGGAGCCCAGAGCCUGAAUCAGUGUGUGUGUUAGUGGAAGCGUCUGGAAAGGCGUGCGAUACAGGGUGACAGCCCCGUACACAAAAAUGCACAUAUUGUGAGCUCGAUGAGUAGGGCGGGACACGUGGUAUCCUGUCUGAAUAUGGGGGGACCAUCCUCCAAGGCUAAAUACUCCUGACUGACCGAUAGUGAACCAGUACCGUGAGGGAAAGGCGAAAAGAACCCCGGCGAGGGGAGUGAAAAAGAACCUGAAACCGUGUACGUACAAGCAGUGGGAGCCUCUUAAUGGGGUGACUGCGUACCUUUUGUAUAAUGGGUCAGCGACUUAUAUUCUGUAGCAAGGUUAACCGAAUAGGGGAGCCGAAGGGAAACCGAGUCUUAACUGGGCGUUAAGUUGCAGGGUAUAGACCCGAAACCCGGUGAUCUAGCCAUGGGCAGGUUGAAGGUUGGGUAACACUAACUGGAGGACCGAACCGACUAAUGUUGAAAAAUUAGCGGAUGACUUGUGGCUGGGGGUGAAAGGCCAAUCAAACCGGGAGAUAGCUGGUUCUCCCCGAAAGCUAUUUAGGUAGCGCCUCGUGAAUUCAUCUCCGGGGGUAGAGCACUGUUUCGGCAAGGGGGUCAUCCCGACUUACCAACCCGAUGCAAACUGCGAAUACCGGAGAAUGUUAUCACGGGAGACACACGGCGGGUGCUAACGUCCGUCGUGAAGAGGGAAACAACCCAGACCGCCAGCUAAGGUCCCAAAGUCAUGGUUAAGUGGGAAACGAUGUGGGAAGGCCCAGACAGCCAGGAUGUUGGCUUAGAAGCAGCCAUCAUUUAAAGAAAGCGUAAUAGCUCACUGGUCGAGUCGGCCUGCGCGGAAGAUGUAACGGGGCUAAACCAUGCACCGAAGCUGCGGCAGCGACACUAUGUGUUGUUGGGUAGGGGAGCGUUCUGUAAGCCUGUGAAGGUGGCCUGUGAGGGUUGCUGGAGGUAUCAGAAGUGCGAAUGCUGACAUAAGUAACGAUAAAGCGGGUGAAAAGCCCGCUCGCCGGAAGACCAAGGGUUCCUGUCCAACGUUAAUCGGGGCAGGGUGAGUCGACCCCUAAGGCGAGGCCGAAAGGCGUAGUCGAUGGGAAACAGGUUAAUAUUCCUGUACUUGGUGUUACUGCGAAGGGGGGACGGAGAAGGCUAUGUUGGCCGGGCGACGGUUGUCCCGGUUUAAGCGUGUAGGCUGGUUUUCCAGGCAAAUCCGGAAAACCAAGGCUGAGGCGUGAUGACGAGGCACUACGGUGCUGAAGUGACAAAUGCCCUGCUUCCAGGAAAAGCCUCUAAGCAUCAGGUAACAUCAAAUCGUACCCCAAACCGACACAGGUGGUCAGGUAGAGAAUACCAAGGCGCUUGAGAGAACUCGGGUGAAGGAACUAGGCAAAAUGGUGCCGUAACUUCGGGAGAAGGCACGCUGAUAUGUAGGUGAAGCGACUUGCUCGUGGAGCUGAAAUCAGUCGAAGAUACCAGCUGGCUGCAACUGUUUAUUAAAAACACAGCACUGUGCAAACACGAAAGUGGACGUAUACGGUGUGACGCCUGCCCGGUGCCGGAAGGUUAAUUGAUGGGGUUAGCGGUAACGCGAAGCUCUUGAUCGAAGCCCCGGUAAACGGCGGCCGUAACUAUAACGGUCCUAAGGUAGCGAAAUUCCUUGUCGGGUAAGUUCCGACCUGCACGAAUGGCGUAAUGAUGGCCAGGCUGUCUCCACCCGAGACUCAGUGAAAUUGAACUCGCUGUGAAGAUGCAGUGUACCCGCGGCAAGACGGAAAGACCCCGUGAACCUUUACUAUAGCUUGACACUGAACAUUGAGCCUUGAUGUGUAGGAUAGGUGGGAGGCUUUGAAGUGUGGACGCCAGUCUGCAUGGAGCCGACCUUGAAAUACCACCCUUUAAUGUUUGAUGUUCUAACGUUGGCCCGUAAUCCGGGUUGCGGACAGUGUCUGGUGGGUAGUUUGACUGGGGCGGUCUCCUCCUAAAGAGUAACGGAGGAGCACGAAGGUUGGCUAAUCCUGGUCGGACAUCAGGAGGUUAGUGCAAUGGCAUAAGCCAGCUUGACUGCGAGCGUGACGGCGCGAGCAGGUGCGAAAGCAGGUCAUAGUGAUCCGGUGGUUCUGAAUGGAAGGGCCAUCGCUCAACGGAUAAAAGGUACUCCGGGGAUAACAGGCUGAUACCGCCCAAGAGUUCAUAUCGACGGCGGUGUUUGGCACCUCGAUGUCGGCUCAUCACAUCCUGGGGCUGAAGUAGGUCCCAAGGGUAUGGCUGUUCGCCAUUUAAAGUGGUACGCGAGCUGGGUUUAGAACGUCGUGAGACAGUUCGGUCCCUAUCUGCCGUGGGCGCUGGAGAACUGAGGGGGGCUGCUCCUAGUACGAGAGGACCGGAGUGGACGCAUCACUGGUGUUCGGGUUGUCAUGCCAAUGGCACUGCCCGGUAGCUAAAUGCGGAAGAGAUAAGUGCUGAAAGCAUCUAAGCACGAAACUUGCCCCGAGAUGAGUUCUCCCUGACUCCUUGAGGGUCCUGAAGGAACGUUGAAGACGACGACGUUGAUAGGCCGGGUGUGUAAGCGCAGCGAUGCGUUGAGCUAACCGGUACUAAUGAACCGUGAGGCUUAACCUU
Molecule: ribosomal RNA, 2904 nt
Filed under: Escherichia coli
Lineage: Bacteria; Pseudomonadati; Pseudomonadota; Gammaproteobacteria; Enterobacterales; Enterobacteriaceae
Also listed under: 1 other name
Description: 23S ribosomal RNA
Rfam family: Bacterial large subunit ribosomal RNA
Source: RNAcentral